This 96-nucleotide signal recognition particle RNA is filed under the name Gammaproteobacteria bacterium. RNAcentral describes it as "signal recognition particle sRNA small type". It matches the Rfam family "Bacterial small signal recognition particle RNA". From Rfam's summary of the family: The signal recognition particle (SRP) is a universally conserved ribonucleoprotein involved in the co-translational targeting of proteins to membranes. Archaeal SRP consists of a 7S RNA and homologues of the eukaryotic SRP19 and SRP54 proteins. In most bacteria, the SRP consists of a 4.5S RNA and the Ffh protein (a homologue of the eukaryotic SRP54 protein). The record is from RNAcentral. Lineage: Bacteria; Pseudomonadati; Pseudomonadota; Gammaproteobacteria. RNAcentral also lists the same sequence under 2 other names.
UCUUGGUCCCCUGAAGGCGACAUGUUGUGAACUCCGCCAGGCCUGGAAGGGAGCAACGGUAACAGCGGCGUCGGGCUUUGGGUAAGGCUGGAUGGG